UUCGUUAACGAACGAGACCUCGGCCUGCUAACUAGUCACGCGAAUCCUGGAUUCGCGGCCGACUUCUUAGAGGGACUUCCGGUAUCUAGCCGGAGGAAGUGCGAGGCAAUAACAGGUCUGUGAUGCCCUUAGAUGUCCUGGGCUGCACGCGCGCUACACUGAUGAGGGCAGCGAGUCUAUAACCUUGGCCGGCAGGUCUGGGUAAUCUUGUGAAACCUCAUCGUGCUGGGGAUAGAUCAUUGCAAUUAUUGAUCUUCAACGAGGAAUUCCUAGUAAGUGCACGUCACCAGCGUGCGCUGAUUACGUCCCUGCCCUUUGUACACACCGCCCGUCGCUAAUACCGAUUGAAUGGAUGA
This 356-nucleotide ribosomal RNA is filed under the name Eukaryota sp. Its description in RNAcentral is "SSU rRNA". It matches the Rfam family "Eukaryotic small subunit ribosomal RNA", at positions 1324 to 1700 of the family's 1831-position model. The record is from RNAcentral.